CUUUCCCUCUGGCGGCAUGCUUUACACAUGCAAGUCGAACGGCAGCGGGGUAGUGCUUGCACUACUGCCGGCGAGUGGCGAACGGGUGAGUAAUAUAUCGGAACGUACCGAGUAAUGGGGGAUAACCAAUCGAAAGAUUGGCUAAUACCGCAUACGUCCUGAGGGAGAAAGCGGGGGAUCGCAAGACCUCGCGUUAUUCGAGCGGCCGAUAACUGAUUAGCUAGUUGGUGGGGUAAAGGCCUACCAAGGCGACGAUCAGUAGCGGGUCUGAGAGGACGAUCCGCCACACUGGGACUGAGACACGGCCCAGACUCCUACGGGAGGCAGCAGUGGGGAAUUUUGGACAAUGGGGGCAACCCUGAUCCAGCCAUGCCGCGUGUAUGAAGAAGGCCUUCGGGUUGUAAAGUACUUUUGUUAGGGAAGAAAAGGGAAGUGCUAAUACCACUUUUUGCUGACGGUACCUAAAGAAUAAGCACCGGCUAACUACGUG
RNAcentral lists this ribosomal RNA (490 nucleotides) under uncultured bacterium. RNAcentral describes it as "partial 16S ribosomal RNA". It matches the Rfam family "Bacterial small subunit ribosomal RNA", at positions 36 to 507 of the family's 1533-position model. The record is from RNAcentral.